AAGGAUUGGCUCUGAGGGCUGGG
This 23-nucleotide non-coding RNA is filed under the name Arabidopsis thaliana (thale cress). The record is from RNAcentral. Lineage: Eukaryota; Viridiplantae; Streptophyta; Magnoliopsida; Brassicales; Brassicaceae. RNAcentral also lists the same sequence under 1 other name.